UACGUAGGGGGCUAGCGUUGUCCGGAUUUAUUGGGCGUAAAGAGCGUGUAGGCGGCCAUGUAGGUCCGGUGUGAAAACUCGAGGCUUAACCUCGAGAUGUCAUCGGAAACCAUUUGGCUAGAGUCCGGAAGAGGAGAGUGGAAUUCCUGGUGUAGCGGUGAAAUGCGUAGAUAUCUGGAGGAACACCGGUGGCGAAGGCGGCAUCCUGGACCAACACUGACGCUGAGUGAGCGAAAGCCAGGGGAGCAAACGGG
Molecule: ribosomal RNA, 254 nt
Filed under: uncultured bacterium
Lineage: Bacteria
Description: partial 16S ribosomal RNA
Rfam family: Bacterial small subunit ribosomal RNA
Source: RNAcentral